CCGUUGUGGUGCUGGGGGUUAAGGUGCAACGUCAGAGCACAUGCUCCAAAAUAACUGGAGCCACCAAUCCCCUGAGGUUGGCCCUUUUAACUGUGAGCAGCACAA
Small nucleolar RNA from Trichechus manatus latirostris (Florida manatee), 105 nucleotides. NCBI's taxonomy places the organism in Eukaryota, Metazoa, Chordata, Mammalia, Sirenia, Trichechidae. The record is from RefSeq and is a predicted model, not a curated record.